This 328-nucleotide ribosomal RNA is filed under the name uncultured eukaryote. Its description in RNAcentral is "partial 18S ribosomal RNA". It matches the Rfam family "Eukaryotic small subunit ribosomal RNA", at positions 1470 to 1796 of the family's 1831-position model. The record is from RNAcentral.
CCCUUAGAUGUUCUGGGCCGCACGCGCGCUACACUGAUGCAUUCAACGAGUUUCUUCCUGGUCCGAGAGGAAUGGGUAACCUUUUGAAAGUGCAUCGUGAUAGGGAUAGACUAUUGCAAUUAUUGGUCUUCAACGAGGAAUGCCUAGUAAACGCAAGUCAUCAGCUUGCAUUGAUUACGUCCCUGCCCUUUGUACACACCGCCCGUCGCUCCUACCGAUUGAAUGAUCCGAUGAAUAUCAUGGAUUGAGGAUGCAAGUAGGUUCGCCUAUCUUCAUCUUCGAGAAGUGAAGUAAAUCUUAUCAUUUAGAGGAAGGAGAAGUCGUAACA